Molecule: ribosomal RNA, 406 nt
Filed under: uncultured bacterium
Lineage: Bacteria
Description: partial 16S ribosomal RNA
Rfam family: Bacterial small subunit ribosomal RNA
Source: RNAcentral
AUUGAACGCUGGCGGCAGGCAUAACACAUGCAAGUCGAACGAGUGGCGGACGGGUGAGUAAUGUCUGGGAAACUGCCUGAUGGAGGGGGAUAACUACUGGAAACGGUAGCUAAUACCGCAUACCAUCAGAUGUGCCCAGAUGGGAUUAGCUAGUUGGUGGGGUAACGGCUCACCAAGGCGACGAUCCCUAGCUGGUCUGAGAGGAUGACCAGCCACACUGGAACUGAGACAUGGUACAGACUCAUACGGGAGGGAGAGCGGGGGAAUAGUGCACAAUGGGCGCAAGCCUGAUGCAGACAAGCCGCGUGUAUGAAGAAGGCCUUCGGGUUGUAAAGUACUUUCAGCGGGGAGGCGUUACCCGCAGAAGAAGCACCGGCUAACUCCGUGCCAGCAGCCGCGGUAAUUC